This 477-nucleotide ribosomal RNA is filed under the name uncultured bacterium. RNAcentral describes it as "bacterial SSU rRNA". It matches the Rfam family "Bacterial small subunit ribosomal RNA", at positions 365 to 832 of the family's 1533-position model. The record is from RNAcentral.
UUCGCAAUGCCCGAAAGGGUGACGAAGCGACGCCGCGUGUGGGAAGAAGGCCUUCGGGUUGUAAACCACUGUCGGGAGUUAAGAAAUGCAAGGAUAUGAAUAGUGUCUUUGCUUGACUAAGGCUCCGGAGGAAGCCACGGCUAACUCUGUGCCAGCAGCCGCGGUAAUACAGAGGCGGCAAGCGUUGUUCGGAAUUAUUGGGCGUAAAGAGCACGUAGGCGGCUAUGUAAGUCGGUUGUGAAAGCCUUCCGCUCAACGGGAGAACAGCAUCCGAUACUGUAUGGCUUGAGUGUGGGAGGGGAGAGUGGAACUUCUGGUGGAGCGGUGAAAUGCGUAGAUAUCAGAAGGAACGCCGGCGGCGAAAGCGGCUCUCUGGCCCAUAACUGACGCUGAGUGUGCGAAAGCUAGGGGAGCAAACGGGAUUAGAUACCCCGGUAGUCCUAGCCGUAAACGAUGGGCACUAAGUAGAGGGGUUUU